Molecule: long non-coding RNA, 898 nt
Filed under: Phasianus colchicus (ring-necked pheasant)
Lineage: Eukaryota; Metazoa; Chordata; Aves; Galliformes; Phasianidae
Description: lncRNA (ENSPCLG00000018602.1)
Source: RNAcentral
AUCCCACUGCCCCCAUCCCCACCCCACUGCUCCCAUCCCCAUCCUACUGCCCCCAUCCUACUGCCCCCACCCCACUGCUCCCAGUUCCCAUCCCAUCACUCCCAGUUCCCGUCCCAUCACUCCCAGUUCCCGUCCCGUUACUCCCCAUUCCACCCCAUUGCUCCCAGUUCCCAUCCCACCGCUCCCUGUCCCCAUUCCCAUCAUUCCCAGUUCCCACCCCACCCUAUUCCUGUUCCCAUCCCAAUCCCAUCCCACCCCCUUCUCAAUUCCCAUCCCAUCCCCUCCCAGUUUCCACCCUUAUCCCAUCCCACCCCUAUUCCCAUCGCAAUUCCUAUUCCCAGUUCCCAUCCCAUUCCCAUCCCAAUCCCCAUCCCAGUUCCCAUCCCAUUCCCAUCCCAGUUCCCAUCCCAGUUCCCAUCCCAUUCCCAUCCCAGUUCUCAUCCCAUUCCCAUCCCAGUUCCCAUCCCAGUUCUCAUCCCAGUUCCCAUCCCGUUCCCAUCCCAAUCCCCAUCCCAUUCCCAUCCCAUUCCCAUUCCAGUUCCCAUCCCAGUUCCCAUCCCAAUCCCCAUCCCAUUCCCAUCCCAUUCCCCAUCCCAUUCCCAUUCCAGUUCCCAUCCCAGUUCCCAUCCUGUUUCCAUCCCAAUCCCCAUCCCAAUUCCUGUCCCAAUUCCCAUCCCAAUCCUUAUCCCGUUUCCAUCCCAAUCCCCAUCCCAGUUCCCAUCCCAGUUCCUAUUCCAGUUCCCAUCCCAAUUCUCAUCCCAAUCCCCAUCCCAAAUCCCAUCCCCAUCAACAUCCCAAUUCCCAUCCUCACCCCAUCCCCAAUCCCAAUUCCCCUCCCCAUCCCCGUUCCCCCCCCACUGCUGACCCACAGGGACGCAGAGGGGUUCGGCCCCAUAAG